AUCUCAUGUCCCUUACCCCCCAGAAACCCUAGAACUUGCCGCCCCUGAAACUUCGCCAUCUCCGCCGGCGGAGACUCCACACACCACUCCGUUCCACCCAAACUUUACACCACAGUUUCUCCGUUUCCUCCUCAUCUCAAAUCCCCACAUAAUUUCCCUCAAAUCUCACUCAAAUCUCUUGAAUCUUGAUCAGAAACUCCAAACCCUAGCAUCGCCACAGUUCCUCCAGUGGCGACAAUCCCAAUCAACCCCAAAACACACCCUUGAACCCUCACCACCUCUUCUCCACUAAUCUGUGUUCAAUUGCUCUGAAAAAUCCCCCAUAAGUUUUUGAAUUUUAGGUUCAAGGUCCUGAACCCUGUUGCAUAAAGAUUGUUUGAGGAGUUAUUGCUCGUCCCUCGAUAAUUUUAUCUAAUUGCACGUAUUAAGAGCAAGUGGGUGAUAUUUUUGAAGGCGAACAUCAAAGGUUUGAUGUGUGUUGUUGAUUCGGUCCAAAUAGGUAAGCAUUUUGCACUUCUUUUAAGUUUUCUGUCAAGUUUGACUCAUUUUCUUCCUCGCCUCACUCUUUUGAUUUGAAGUUCAUGCUCAAAUUUUAGACAUGAGUUAGUUUUUGUGCCUGUUUUCUCCUGUUAAAUCUUGACCUUUCCAUUCUAUUUUUAAUGGUUAAUAAAAUAAGUGUUUUGGUUGGUUUUAUUUAGAUUAAAUCACUAUUUAGCUUAGUAUUGAUAGGUUUUAUGAUAUAGUAUUCUUAUUUAAAUGUUGGUGUGAUUGCUUGAAUCUUCGAUUCAUGUUUUAAUUUGUUUCCAGUGGCUUUUCGACAUUUUCUUUAAGAAUUGAUUCGUAGUUUGAUUUGUUAGAUGCCCUCUGUGUUUAGGCGAUCCUAUUUGUCACAUUCUCAAACCUAGGGGAGAUAAGUGAAUAAUUAGGAACUUUAAGGAUUCUCAAAGGGAAAGGCAUGGAUAGUAAUAUUUUGUUCAGCAAAGGGCAAUUUGGGGACUUCAUAUUCAGAGGAGAUCGAUUAUGUUAGUUAGAAGUUUCUAGGGGAUAGGAUAAACGUGAGUUUGUUAGGAGGGGUGAUUUUUAAUUCUUUGGAGGGGUAAGAGGGUAAAAAUAAUUUGCUUUGAGAGGGAUGAAAUGGGAAAUUACUAUUUAGGAUAAGGUUGCCUUAAAUAUCCCUAUAUAAUGACCCUUUUUCUCUUCAUUCAGGCAGAUUUUUGAACACUCUGAAAUCUGAGAGAGAAUUCCAGAAAAUACAAAAACAACUCCAGAAAAUUCUAUUGUUACAUUGACAAUUUCAGUUUUCCUUUCGGAAAAAACAAAGGUCCUUAUUGUGAUACUCAGAAUGAAUUGAUAUUUUAUUGUUGGUGCUUCUAAUUCAAGCUGUUUGGGAUUAAAUUUUCACUGAUUUUUGUUGGAUUAAGUUCCUAGGGUUUAAUCACUGGAACUUGUGGUGUUGGUUUGUUGAUUACUAUUCUAUUCUAGUCCCUCGCUUCUCUUCCUUUUUGUGCAAUUUUCAGGUAUUUUUCAGCUCUAUGGAUGUCACUUGAAGUGUAAUUUGAAGCAGAAAUUGGAAACAUGAAAUAGAAAUGUGAUUGUUUGUUUGACUUCUAUUUUGUUAUUCUUUCAAUUUUAUGACUAGAUUAUUAUAGCCUAGCAUAAGUUGUUCCUGUUACUGUAGUACAGUACUUGAAAUCAGUGUUAGGAUCGUUUCUUGUGUGUCGUAUCUUCAAGUGCAUUUUUGAAUUUGAGUCUGUAUUGGUUAGUAAGUCAGAUAUAUAUAUUUUCUUUUGAUAUGUGUGAGUAGCCUUUUAGCUUGGCAGGGGCUUUAUCAUUUUAAAUUGUUAGUUUGAUAACUGGACGUUUGAAUAGAUUAAAUUUGAGCAUGUGAUAAAAGCUGAAGUCAUGUAUUUAUUUUCUUCUGUGAUACAGUUUAUGUUCGGCAAUGGUUGAUGGUAAAAGGUGGAUCCAAUUUGCAGAUUGUUAAUGGUUUAUAUUGAUUUAUGAUCACGCAUGUGUAGUUAUGAUUUGGUAAUAAAUUCUGAAUAAAAAAAGUAGAUUGGUAACCUAGUAUGCUUGAUCAAGAAUUCACCGCCUAAUUUUUUUUAAUUGGCUUUAAAAUAUUUUUUCAAAGUUUAAGAAUUUGAAUGUUUGAGUGCC
RNAcentral lists this long non-coding RNA (2157 nucleotides) under Nicotiana benthamiana. RNAcentral's name for it is "long non-coding RNA (NBEN_LNC010374)". Lineage: Eukaryota; Viridiplantae; Streptophyta; Magnoliopsida; Solanales; Solanaceae. The record is from RNAcentral.